UACGGAGGGUGCAAGCGUUAAUCGGAAUUACUGGGCGUAAAGCGAGUGUAGGCGGCUAUGUAAGUCGGAUGUGAAAUCCCCGGGCUCAACCUGGGAACUGCAUUCGAUACUGCAUGGCUAGAGUCUGAUAGAGGGAAGUGGAAUUCCAGGUGUAGCGGUGAAAUGCGUAGAUAUCUGGAAGAACACCAGUGGCGAAGGCGGCUUCCUGGAUCAAGACUGACGCUGAGGCUCGAAAGCGUGGGGAGCAAACAGG
RNAcentral lists this ribosomal RNA (253 nucleotides) under uncultured bacterium. RNAcentral describes it as "partial 16S ribosomal RNA". It matches the Rfam family "Bacterial small subunit ribosomal RNA", at positions 524 to 776 of the family's 1533-position model. The record is from RNAcentral.